AACGAACGCUGGCGGCAGGCUUAACACAUGCAAGUCGAACGCCCCGCAAGGGGAGUGGCAGACGGGUGAGUAACGCGUGGGAACGUGCCCUUCGCUUCAGGAUAGCCUCGGGAAACUGGGAGUAAUACUGAAUACGCCGUAUUGGGAAAGAUUUAUCGGCGAAGGAUCGGCCCGCGUUAGAUUAGGUAGUUGGCGGUGUAAUGGACCACCAAGCCUACGAUCUAUAGCUGGUCUGAGAGGAUGAUCAGCCACACUGGGACUGAGACACGGCCCAGACUCCUACGGGAGGCAGCAGUGGGGAAUCUUGGACAAUGGGCGCAAGCCUGAUCCAGCCAUGCCGCGUGAGUGAAGAAGGCCUUAGGGUUGUAAAACUCUUUCGCCGGAGAAGAUAAUGACGGUAUCCGGAGAAGAAGCCCCGGCUAACUUCGUGCCAGCAGCCGCGGUAAUACGAAGGGGGCUAGCGUUGUUCGGAAUUACUGGGCGUAAAGCGCACGUAGGCGGGUUUGUAAGUAGGGGGUGAAAUCCCAGGGCUCAACCCUGGAACUGCCUUCUAAACUGCAAGCCUGGAGGUCAGGAGAGGCGAGUGGAAUACCGAGUGUAGAGGUGAAAUUCGUAGAUAUUCGGUGGAACACCAGUGGCGAAGGCGACUCGCUGGGACUGAUAC
Molecule: ribosomal RNA, 664 nt
Filed under: uncultured bacterium
Lineage: Bacteria
Description: bacterial SSU rRNA
Rfam family: Bacterial small subunit ribosomal RNA
Source: RNAcentral